Molecule: long non-coding RNA, 484 nt
Organism: Hemicordylus capensis (graceful crag lizard)
Lineage: Eukaryota; Metazoa; Chordata; Lepidosauria; Squamata; Cordylidae
Exons: 3
Source: RefSeq, a predicted model, not a curated record
CCUCCCACAAGCUGUUGUUCAGCAACAAGAUGCCAUCAGUGUGGCUUUCUUGAACGGAGGCUGGAAGUUCGACAAGUGUUACCCUGGUAGUACUCUAGUUUCUCCUUGCUGAAAAUCUACCUAAACAGGGAUCCAAAAGGGAUGCUUUCAGAUGAACUGGAUGGAAGCAAAAUUGAGAUAUCUUGGCAAACAAUCUCCUCCUCUUCCUCCUCCUUUUUGGACAGAGGUCAAGAAGGCAAAAGCUCAAUUAGAUUAAAAUCCAAUUGUCUGAAUAUAUCUAGAAUAUUUGAGAGGCUUGGUGUAUCUCCUUCAAGUUUCUGCUAGCCACCAAAAUUGGACACCAAUCCAUUCAGUAUCCAGGGAAGAGGACUGAUCAACAGUCACGACAGCUACAGGCAAACUCCCAAGUAUUUGAUGUCAGGGUGUUUUUCUGUUUCGAAAGGUCUCUUUUGAAGAUGCAGUUUGUUUGGGUUUUCGUCACUGG